This is a non-coding RNA of Durio zibethinus, 424 nucleotides long. The record is from RefSeq and is a predicted model, not a curated record. Lineage: Eukaryota; Viridiplantae; Streptophyta; Magnoliopsida; Malvales; Malvaceae.
AACGCUAAAAAUUGUGCCCAUACAAAAAAAAUUGAAUCUUGAUUGUUAGAGGAUUGGUUAUUGUAGCAAAAUUUACCCAUUUGAUAGAAGCAUAAUUGUUUUUUUUUUUCUUUUCAUACUGGAACGGUUUAGAUAUUUUGAAAGGAGUUCCUUCAUGCCAUUUAUACAGGCAUUUGGCAUUGGCUUUGCACCAAUCCAUGGUUUCUGGUUCGUUUGCAAUAGACAAGGCAAUUCAGCAUUAAUGCGCGAUGAUAUUUCUAUGGAACAGAAGGAAGAGUGGAAUAAUUUGGUUUCAAAUAAGGGACUUGAAUUGAUUAAAAUGGCUUGAAGACAAUUGAAGGAAGGUGUGCAGUUGGUGAAUACAAUAAUAUUGAACCAGGUUCUAUGAUCCUUUUUAAUAAAUGUCUGGUGCUUGAAGUUAAGG